Molecule: ribosomal RNA, 393 nt
Filed under: Mallomonas annulata
Lineage: Eukaryota; Synurophyceae; Synurales; Mallomonadaceae
Description: partial small subunit ribosomal RNA
Rfam family: Eukaryotic small subunit ribosomal RNA
Source: RNAcentral
GCUUGUCUCAAAGAUUAAGCCAUGCAUGUCUAAGUGUAAAUACGUCUACACUGUGAAACUGCGAAUGGCUCAUUAUAUCAGUUAUAGUUUAUUUGAUGGUCCUUACUAUUUGGAUAACCGUAGUAAUUCUAGAGCUAAUACAUGCAUCAAGCCCUGACUUCGGAAGGGGUGUAUUUAUUAGAUGGAAACCAAUGCGGGGCAACCCGGUAUAUGGUGAUUCAUAAUAACUUUCGGAUCGAUCUUCGGAUCGAUGCAUCAUUCAAGUUUCUGCCCUAUCAGCUUUGGAUGGUAGGGUAUUGGCCUACCAUGGCUUUAACGGGUAACGGAGAAUUAGGGUUCGAUUCCGGAGAGGGAGCCUGAGAAAUGGCUACCACAUCCAAGGAAGGCAGCAGG